GACGAACGCUGGCGGCGUGCCUAAUACAUGCAAGUAGAACGCUGAAGGAGGAGCUUGCUCUUCUGGCUGAGUUGCGAACGGGUGAGUAACGCGUAGGUAACCUGCCUGAUAUCGGGGGAUGACUAUUGGAAACGAUAGCUAAUACAGCAUAACAGUCGAUGUUGCAUGACAUUUGCUUAAAAGGUGCACUUGCCCCACUACCAGAUGGACCUGCGUUGUAUUAGCUAGUUGGUGGGGUAACGGCUCACCAAGGCGAGGAUACAUAGCCGACCUGAGAGAGGGAGCGGACACACUGUGAAUGAGACACGCGGCAGACUCCUACGGGGGGCGGCGGUAGGGGAACUUUGGCAAUAGACGGGAGUCUGUGCGAGAAACGCCGCGUGAGUGAAAAAGGUGUUCGGAUGUUAAAGCGCUGUUGUAAGAGGAGAACAAGUGUGAAAGUUGAAAGUUCACACUGUGACGGUAACUGACCAGAAAAGGACGGCUAACUACGUG
This 495-nucleotide ribosomal RNA is filed under the name uncultured bacterium. Its description in RNAcentral is "partial 16S ribosomal RNA". It matches the Rfam family "Bacterial small subunit ribosomal RNA", at positions 28 to 507 of the family's 1533-position model. The record is from RNAcentral.